Temnothorax curvispinosus is the source of this 7036-nucleotide RNA transcript. It is a transcript of the gene named protein ECT2-like, with no coding region annotated. Lineage: Eukaryota; Metazoa; Arthropoda; Insecta; Hymenoptera; Formicidae. The transcript has 17 exons. The record is from RefSeq and is a predicted model, not a curated record.
CGGCCACGGUGGUGGGGUUGGGAACAACACACACGGGACGUACGCGGUACGCGCGGUGCGGCGGAGGGAAGAAGGACGAGGCCACACAAAUCGUGCGGCGGUUCGUGCCUUGCCCAGCGCUGUUGGUCGAUGUCGUCGACGCCGCCUGGGUUGCGCCUGUGCGAUUUUCGGGAAAGGCGAAAAUCCCGUUUUCCGGACUCGGGGGAUACGUGAGCGCGAGCAGCCGUGAAGCGUCGGGAGUGCGAAAGUGCGCGGUUCGGCGCGAGUGAGGUUCAUGUUGAACACGAGGGUGGUACGGUGGACUCGGCGGCGGCUCGUCGCCUGCGCGACGGCGCUUUAAAUGAUCAACGACCGGGACCGGGACGAGUGUCGUAGCACGUCGGAGACGGGAGGACACGCUCGGCAAGAUCUGCGCGUAUACACGGGAGGAGUGAGACUCGGGCCGAUGUUGUAACGUUUUUUUUUCCUUUUCGCGGAGGGGCCAAGAUGGAAGAGCGUAGCGUCCACGGCAGUAUCGGCGAUAUAAAUAGUGCGGAGGCGACCAAAACUUUAAUAAUACCACGUAAGAAGAGGAUAUGCUUGGUUGGUGCAACCUGCAAUGAUCCUGCGCUUAAUGCUGCUGCUCAGCAAUUCAAAGUGCCUGUACUUAAGUCUGAAACCGGCACGGAACAUGUUGAGGACACUACUUACAAUACUUAUUUCAUACUCAAACAAUUUGAAGGGUCCGAAUAUGAUGCUUUAUGCAAGAGUGCUCAUAGAGUACUGGGACCUACAGCUUUGCUACAACUGGCAGAGAAGAAAGAACCUCUGCCCAGUAUUAAAAGACCAAUGUACACGCAAGCUAUGGUAGGCACAAUUGUGGUGUUUAGCGGCUUUCGGUCUAGAGAGGAUGAACUGCGCAAGUUAGCUAAUAUGAUUCUUAAUAUGGGAGGUAGCAUCCGAAAGGAGAUGGGUAUUAAAGUGACGCAUCUUAUUGCAAAUCAUUGCAGCGGAGAGAAGUAUAGAUAUGCUGACACAUUUGGAUUGCCUAUCAUGUCGAUAGACUGGGUGAUAGCAUUGUGGAAUGCUAAAGAUGAUAUCUCCAAGUACGCGAACGACGAGAAUUUGAUAGCAGCUUAUAAGCUGAAGCCAUUUUAUGGUGCAAAAAUAUGUUUCUCUGGUUUUCCUGACGACGAGAAGAGACAUAUGUGUGAGAUUCUGGAGCAACAGGGUGGCGAACCCACUGAGAUUGACGAUCCGUGCUGCACUCAUGUUGUGAUAGAUAUACCCGGUCUUUUCCACAAGAGAGCCAACGAUGUGGACUUAUAUCUUAAAAAUACAUCCAAUAGUCCACUUUCCUUAACGUAUAUUAAACCAAUUUCCUCUUCUUUCUAUAAUCCUUAUUUGAACACGAUUUUUAAUACAACAAAAUUUGAUCAUAGCAAUAUAUCUAGUUAUUCCUCGAAAAUCAAUUCGUUAAUCUCACGUACAAACGAUAUAGAACAUAGUGACCAGUGGAACGAUCUUGUUUCUAUAUAUAAUGUCAGUGUAGAUUCUGCUAUUAGUAUGAAUGAUAACUGCUUUAAUUUGCAAAAUUCAAUUAUUAAAUCUGAGAACUUAUUCCAUUCUUUCACGGAACAAAGUGAUUCUGGCGUAGACACGACCAGAUCAUCUAGUUCUUCUGCGGUUUUUAUGUCGAAUAAAUAUUCGAUUCCAACAACGUCGACAAUGAUAAACAAAAAGAACGUUAAAUUCUGUAUUUCUGAAAGCUCUUUGUUCGAUAACGAAGUAUCUCUUUGUGAAACUAUGUUAAACUUUCCAGAUAAAUCAAAUGAUUAUAAAUCGUCGCCAUCUUAUGAAAAAAAUAACGAAUCUAAUCUUUGUAUAUCACCAACGAGCAAUAAUGCAUUAUCUUUAAAAUAUCGUAAAAAUGUUCAUUACGUGCAGAAUAAUACAUCGAAAAGUAAAAUAAUUCCCAAACGAUAUAUAAAAUGGAGAAAAACUAAUUCCUGCACAUUUGUUCAUAAAAUGGCGACGCUUGAAAAGUAUAAGUUCACAAAGACGCUCUCGUAUCCGAAUAUAUUAAAGCGUAACGAGGAACAGUAUAGCGACACAUUUUUACACAAGGCAUUAGAUGAAAGGAAUAAGCAUUUGUCUAAAUCUAAUACAUCUUUUUUCUCAAAGAUCAGCCACUUUUCUUUCUGUCCAAUAUUUUCUGACAAUAAGCAAGAUACUUCCAUCAGUUCAUACUAUUGUCCACCCGAGAAAAACCUUUUUAAAAAGAAAUACACAUUUUUAUCCAAAUCUUUCCCAGUGCCUACAAAAAUUUCAAAUAGUAAACACAGCUUACGAAACACUUCUAUAUUUGAUGGCAAAAGUAACAAUGUAUCAUCUGCAUCACAUGACAUGAAAACUGAGUGCACAGAUUUGAAGGCAGUGAAGGAUAAAUCAUUACUCACGGUCGUAGAUGAGUCCAGCGUAAAUGUUCGUCCAAAUUUAGUUUCAGUGUCUGCUUUCAUAGUCAAAACUGGAUGGUUUUGGACAUCUGUACAAAAUGAGGCAGCCGCUGAUGAGAAAGAGUAUCUAUUCGAACAUUAUCUAGAAAAAGUUCUGUCCCCUACUGCGACGGGUAGACGAGACAGUCAACAGCUCGUACCGCAGAAUGUGACAUUGGCAAAGCACCCCUGUUGGUUAGAUGGUCCAUUAUCUAAUUUAUUACAAAACGGAGCGGAUUCCCCAGCCACCAGUGUCAGUGGAAGCUUUCUGGACUGCACAACAAGUCCGGAUAAACAGUUGCUGGACGAACAUUUGCCGAUUAUUACUUAUGUUCAAGAAAACUUGUCGCAACGACAUAAAGUUUUUCUUGAACUAGUAGAGACGGAGGGCAAUUACGUCGGUAUCCUCAAAACAAUUAUGACGUUAUUCAAAUUGCCACUGGAAAAUCUCAUAGGCAAAAGUGGGAAAGAGUUGCUAAAUAGUACAGAAGUAAAAAUUAUAUUUAAUAAUUUCCCACCCAUUUAUGAUAUUCACAAACAAUUGUUGGAGGCAUUACAUUGUAGUGCUUCUCACUGGACAGAGGAUAUCAGUAUUGGCGAAAUAUUUCUAAAGUUUGAACCAGAUUUAGUUAAAGCGUAUUCUCCAUAUGUUAACUUUUUCGAGAAUACAAAGCAAAUGUUGAAAGAAUGUGAUCAAACUAAGCCAAGAUUCCACGCCUUUUUAAAAAAUUGCCAGACAAUGCCGGAGUGCGGUAGACAAAGCUUAGAGGAGCUGUUAAUUAAACCAAUACAAAGGUUACCCAGUAUUAGUUUAUUAUUAAGCGAUAUUCUUAAGCACACGGACAAAAGUAAUCCAGACUAUAGCGCGCUCGAAGCUUCUAUUAGCUGUAUUAAGAAAGCAAUAACGUAUAUAAACGAGGACAAAAGGAAAACGGAACGGCAGGUCGCAAUGUUUAAAGUCUUUGAAGAGAUUGAUAAUUGCCCGGCGAAUUUAGUUUCCUCGAAUAGGUCAUUUAUCAGUAAAUGUGAUGUAAUGGAAGUUACGGAAGGUCUUAGUGGACGAGGGGAUCAUUUAGUAUUGUUUCUGUUUACCGAUACUCUCGAAGUAUGCAAGAAAAGAUCGAAAGCUUUUAACUCGGUAAAGAGUCCUAAUACUAUAAAUGGUUUGCAAUCAAAUAAAUCAAAUAAAUUAAAAUAUAAGCAUAUCAAAAUGUUGUCAUUAAGUACUAUCAAAAAAGUCGUCGAUAUACGAGAAACUGACGAAUGUCAUAAAGUAUUUGCACUUGUGGUACGAAGCACUCAGGAUCAGAAGGAAAAAUUCUUUUCGUUUAUAAUUACUGACGAGGAAGUAAACAAAACGAAUUAUCUACAGACAUUAUGCAGGCAAAUGGCUCUUGCUGCUCGUAUAGCUGAUGCUGAUAUGUUGCUCAUUAGAUAUGAUUCGCAUCAACUUGAAGUUGGUACUAGCGAUGUGGCAUCAGGAACAUUAAAGAAAACAAUUAAGAGCCUAUUUCAUAAUUUUUACCUGGAGUAUAUGGACCCGUAUGUCUUCCUACUCAAUAGCAUGUGUGAAACCACGUUACAUGUCCCACUACCGUUUGCAUCUCGUACAAGAGCGAGAGUUGGUCGAGCGUUUAGUUUCAAUAAAACGCCAAGCAAACUAAAUAGAGCGAUGUCUACAAUUAUGUCCCCAUUUGGAGUAGCACAAAAUCUUCCUCCCACAAACCAACAAAUAGCUCAGAUGCGGCUAGGAAGUUGCAACAACAUCAGCGAGUUGGAUAAUGGUGGUUCGAGUUCUCCAAAUAGAGAGGAUGUUCUGGUAGCGCCGAUGUCGGAUCAGCCGACUCGAAAAGCCCUCAGUAUGGCUUCGCUGCGAAGGUUGUAAUUAGUAUGGAAGAAGUCAUGCUUUCUUUUGCUACAGUCAUUUAGUAUUCUACAAAGAGACGUGCAUUUUUAACAGACCCCACUGUGAAUUUGUUCAGCGGGAAUCAUACAGAGGAGGUCUGAUCUUUAAGAUAUAAAAAAAAUUUACACGCAGCUUUAUUUCACUUUGAUCAUUUAUCAACGAAGAUACCGAUGCUGUAGAUUUUUUAAUAAGGCUUAAAAAUAUUCAUAUUUCAAAUAAAAUUAAUUUUUGGAAUAAAGUCUGGCAUAUAUGUGAAAAAUAUUCAUAUUCAGAAAUGAAAUUUAUUGUUAAACACUAAUGAUAAAAUGCAUACCUGCUAUGUGCCAAUAUAGCCAAUAUACUUAAUAACAAAAAUAUUGUCAAUUGUUACGAGUUUGAUAGGUUUGCUUAGAUAAUAUUAUAUUUCAAUGACCUGUGAUUUGAUUGGGUUUAUCACGAGGAGAAACAAUGCAAUUUACUAAUAUUUUAUACGUCCAAAAUUUAUUAAAGACAAACGCACAAAAGAAUAAAAAUUCCACAAUUUUUUAACAUCAAUAUGGAAUUGAAAUAAGAGAACAGAUUCAUAAAAUGAAAAUAUGUACUAUUUCAUAAAUGUUUAUACAAUUUUGUAUCUUUGUACUUUUUUCAUAAUUCUGCAUAAUUGAUUGUAUGAAGAAAAAAUGAAGAAUUGCCAAUAUUAAAAAUAUCGGAAAUAAGGAUUUAAACAACGAGAAACAUAUUGCUUUUUUCUGUAUAGUUAAUUACAUAAUGGUAAGAUAUAUAUAUGAUAGAGAAAAUAAUAAUGCACUAAACAUAAUCAAUAAUAAUCUUUAAGUAAUAUGCAAACAAUAUAUUGUCUUGGAACUUUCGGUGCUUUAUUUGAUGAUUAUUUAUUUCUAUUGUAUAAAUAUCUAAAUGCAAAUUCUUCAUUACUUAGUCUUCAAUUUAUUUGUUUAAUCCACGGGCAUAAUUUUAUUGCAUAAAUUCUCCUUUAUGUAAUUAAUACACACAUAAAAGUAACAGGCUCUCGACAAUUUGCUUUCUUUAUAGCAUUAAUUAUUCAUUUUGAUGCUUAGUUUGUGAAAUUUUUCUAAUUACAUAUUCUAAAAUAUUAUCGACUAUAAUUCAGCUAUAAUUAAGCAAUUGACUGGAGAAACAUGUAAAUAAAAUUAUACGUGAAAAAUAAUUACGAUAUGUACCAAGUAUAUCGGCGAACAGCGAAAACAAUCACGACUGAUAGGCUCCUUUUGAAAAUUUAAUGCAUGAUUUGAUAAAUAUUAAUUCAAGGAUUGCAGACAUACAUCAUCAUAAUUCUUCAAAUUUUCAACGCUCUAUAAAGAGUAUUUUAUUUUUUACACAUAUUUCGUUAUAUUUGAUUUCAUGCAACAUUAAUAGUUUAAUUAUUAACGUUGCAGAACUUGCGUUGCCUACAGCAACAUCUUGCCAUUGUAACUAUGUUUGUAAAAAUUGAAGACAGGCUAUAUAUGUGUAAGAUUGUUUCACGAAUGCGUCCACACGUAUUCGCUAUUGUGUUAUAACGCGAAUAUUCCUAAGUGUUUCGUUCGGCCAUGAUUGUAAUAUUCCAGCUCUACGUAUUAGCAUUUUCUUGAUGGUUCAUUAUUCGAAGCCUAACUAAAGUUUAUUUUCUAAUCGUUAAGACGAGAUAAAAGGAAGAAUAAAUAUUUAGUUUAAUUGCAGAAUAAUUGAUUAGUAAAUGUACUUGGCAGAAAAUCUUGUAGGCUCAGAAUGAUUUCUUCUCUUGCGAUCUUUCCUAGCCUUGACUCAAUCAAUAUAAUACGGUUCUCCUGUUUUUACAGAAUGAUACCAGUGCCACUUCUAAAGUAAUUAAAUAAAAUGCUGAGCGAGGAUUAAAGCUUUAAUAUUUUAUAUUACGUAUGAGCGACAUUUUUUACAAGCAUUACCGCAUGUGAGUCACAAAAAUCCGACAAUAUGGUAUCGAUAUAGGUUUUUAUCCAUAGCAUGUAUAUAUUGAUUGAUUAAAGAAAACCAGCGCGAAUCGCAAAAGGCUGCAGAGAAAGUGGAAGAAAGUAAUUCGAUCACUGCUUAUAAGAAUUAUACAGUUUUAUAUUACCGAUUAUAUUCUCUCUUGUCAUCUUAUGAUAAAUAUAAUUAGUGCCUUGAGUAUGACAACGAGUACGAAUAAAACUUGUAUUGUAUGAUGAAAUGUACUUUGUAUAUGUGCCUGAUUCGCGAAAGAGAUAAAUUGGAGACGUAUCCUUUCUCUUGAUUUCGUCUCUUGUAUUCUCUAAUAUUUUGUGCCUCCUAAUUUAGACUAUUUAUUAAGAAUUCCGACUUUGCGUACUGCGCUCUGUCUUAUUUCAAACCAGUGAGAGAUAUGGUACCUUAUACUUUCUAAUAACGAAUUGUUAUCCCGUAAUAACGAAAACGUGCUUCUUUCAAAUGCCAUUCGCGUGCAUGCUCGAAAUAAGCACGCUACCUAUUUAUAAUAAUAAUAUUAUUAUUAUAUAAGAGCCGCUAAGUAGAAUAGUGGUACGAAUCGCGGGGAAAAAAUAAAAUUUCUACACAUAUCAGUUUCCGUUAAUUAAUCUGGUAUCGCGUAGAUGGUUUGACAUAAUAUAAAAAUUAAAUCUUAUAAUAAUUGCUGCAAUUUUUCAACGUAAGGAUCGAUAUAAGAUAUGCUACUACUAUUCUUGCG